AUGGAGAGGAGAUUCUGCACUCA
This 23-nucleotide non-coding RNA is filed under the name Arabidopsis thaliana (thale cress). Lineage: Eukaryota; Viridiplantae; Streptophyta; Magnoliopsida; Brassicales; Brassicaceae. The record is from RNAcentral.